AGUGAACGCUGGCGGUAGGCCUAACACAUGCAAGUCGAACGGCAGCACAGUAAGAGCUUGCUCUUACGGGUGGCGAGUGGCGGACGGGUGAGGAAUACAUCGGAAUCUACUUUUUCGUGGGGGAUAAUGUAGGGAAACUUACGCUAAUACCGCAUACGACCUACGGGUGAAAGCAGGGGAUCUUCGGACCUUGCGCGAUUGAAUGAGCCGAUGUCGGAUUAGCUAGUUGGCGGGGUAAAGGCCCACCAAGGCGACGAUCCGUAGCUGGUCUGAGAGGAUGAUCAGCCACACUGGAACUGAGACACGGUCCAGACUCCUACGGGAGGCAGCAGUGGGGAAUAUUGGACAACGGGCGCAAGCCUGAUCCAGCCAUACCGCGUGGGUGAAGAAGGCCUUCGGGUUGUAAAGCCCUUUUGUUGGGAAAGAAAAGCAGCAGGUUAAUACCCCGCUGUUCUGACGGUACCCAAAGAAUAAGCACCGGCUAACUUCGU
Molecule: ribosomal RNA, 491 nt
Filed under: uncultured bacterium
Lineage: Bacteria
Description: partial 16S ribosomal RNA
Rfam family: Bacterial small subunit ribosomal RNA
Source: RNAcentral